Molecule: long non-coding RNA, 263 nt
Organism: Amblyraja radiata (thorny skate)
Lineage: Eukaryota; Metazoa; Chordata; Chondrichthyes; Rajiformes; Rajidae
Exons: 2
Source: RefSeq, a predicted model, not a curated record
AGGGGCAUCAACCCGGAAAUGAAGUCGCUGCCCCGGCCGUUGCCCCGCAGGUUGCCAGGUCGAGCAGCGGGGCGGCCUCAGCCCGGAAAUGACGUCACGGCCAAGAUGGAGCCGACCCGCACUGGACGAGUUUAGGAGCCGUUGCUGUGGACCGAGAGACGGGGAUGUGAGGGCAGCCAUUGAGGGCGGCCAGAGUGCCGGUGAGCCCCCAUCUGCUCAGUGUGUGGGCUGAGCUUCGAGGGGCUGAACUUCCGUGGAGGCCC